Molecule: ribosomal RNA, 854 nt
Filed under: Staphylococcus aureus
Lineage: Bacteria; Bacillati; Bacillota; Bacilli; Caryophanales; Staphylococcaceae
Description: partial 23S ribosomal RNA
Rfam family: Bacterial large subunit ribosomal RNA
Source: RNAcentral
UCGUAGACCCGAAACCAGGUGAUCUACCCUUGGUCAGGUUGAAGUUCAGGUAACACUGAAUGGAGGACCGAACCGACUUACGUUGAAAAGUGAGCGGAUGAACUGAGGGUAGCGGAGAAAUUCCAAUCGAACCUGGAGAUAGCUGGUUCUCUCCGAAAUAGCUUUAGGGCUAGCCUCAAGUGAUGAUUAUUGGAGGUAGAGCACUGUUUGGACGAGGGGCCCCUCUCGGGUUACCGAAUUCAGACAAACUCCGAAUGCCAAUUAAUUUAACUUGGGAGUCAGAACAUGGGUGAUAAGGUCCGUGUUCGAAAGGGAAACAGCCCAGACCACCAGCUAAGGUCCCAAAAUAUAUGUUAAGUGGAAAAGGAUGUGGCGUUGCCCAGACAACUAGGAUGUUGGCUUAGAAGCAGCCAUCAUUUAAAGAGUGCGUAAUAGCUCACUAGUCGAGUGACACUGCGCCGAAAAUGUACCGGGGCUAAACAUAUUACCGAAGCUGUGGAUUGUCCUUUGGACAAUGGUAGGAGAGCGUUCUAAGGGCGUUGAAGCAUGAUCGUAAGGACAUGUGGAGCGCUUAGAAGUGAGAAUGCCGGUGUGAGUAGCGAAAGACGGGUGAGAAUCCCGUCCACCGAUUGACUAAGGUUUCCAGAGGAAGGCUCGUCCGCUCUGGGUUAGUCGGGUCCUAAGCUGAGGCCGACAGGCGUAGGCGAUGGAUAACAGGUUGAUAUUCCUGUACCACCUAUAAUCGUUUUAAUCGAUGGGGGGACGCAGUAGGAUAGGCGAAGCGUGCGAUUGGAUUGCACGUCUAAGCAGUAAGGCUGAGUAUUAGGCAAAUCCGGUACUCGUUAAGGCUGAGC